UUCAUCCUCAUCCUCGCAUGGAGUUGGACCGCUUUGCCUUUCGAAAAGGCUGGUCCGAAAUAUCGUCCGCGAUAGGGAGGAAAUCGUAAAGCGUGAUGGUUGACCUCUACGGGGUUAUCUUUCGCUGCAGCUUUCUCUCUCUUUCACGAUAUAUCACAUAUCGUCCGUCUACAUCGACGAUGUUGGCGAACGCAUCUUUCA
This 201-nucleotide unclassified non-coding RNA is filed under the name uncultured Basidiomycota. RNAcentral describes it as "sequence contains ITS2". Lineage: Eukaryota; Fungi; Basidiomycota. The record is from RNAcentral.